Molecule: ribosomal RNA, 461 nt
Filed under: uncultured bacterium
Lineage: Bacteria
Description: partial 16S ribosomal RNA
Rfam family: Bacterial small subunit ribosomal RNA
Source: RNAcentral
GACGAACGCUGGCGGCGUGCUUAACACAUGCAAGUCGAGCGGAAAGGCCCUUCGGGGUCCUCGAGCGGCGAACGGGUGAGUAACACGUGAGUAACCUGCCCCAGACUUUGGGAUAACCCUCGGAAACGGGGGCUAAUACCGGAUACGACACAGCUUCGCAUGGGGUCUGUGUGGAAAGUUUUUCGGUUUGGGAUGGGCUCGCGGCCUAUCAGCUUGUUGGUGGGGUGAUGGCCUACCAAGGCGACGACGGGUAGCCGGCCUGAGAGGGCGACCGGCCACACUGGGACUGAGACACGGCCCAGACUCCUACGGGAGGCAGCAGUGGGGAAUAUUGCACAAUGGGCGGAAGCCUGAUGCAGCGACGCCGCGUGAGGGAUGACGGCCUUCGGGUUGUAAACCUCUUUCAGCAGGGACGAAGCGUAAGUGACGGUACCGGCAGAAGAAGCGCCGGCCAACUACGU